Molecule: ribosomal RNA, 137 nt
Filed under: uncultured eukaryote
Lineage: Eukaryota
Description: partial 18S ribosomal RNA
Rfam family: Eukaryotic small subunit ribosomal RNA
Source: RNAcentral
UGGUGGGUUGCCUUGUCAGGUUGAUUCCGGUAACAACGAGACCUCAGCCUGCUAACUAGUCACGCCUUCUCCGGAAGGCGGCGGACUUCUUAGAGGGACUAUUGGCGAUUAGCCAAUGGAAGCAUGAGGCAAUAACA